RNAcentral lists this long non-coding RNA (3179 nucleotides) under Homo sapiens (human). RNAcentral describes it as "HSALNT0373278". The record is from RNAcentral. Lineage: Eukaryota; Metazoa; Chordata; Mammalia; Primates; Hominidae.
GCUGUGUCACGGGUGCCUCCUUAAUCUUGGCCAAAAAGACAAAAGAAAAACUUACUAAAUUGACUGAGACCCGUCUCAGAUACUUUGGGUUAACAGUUAGGUUCUACCCUUUGAUGCCUGUUUACUUGACUGUGUACUGAGACCAGUUGCUUCACUGAACAUUAAUACCACAACAGGCAACGAUUUUGUUUUGUGGUAGGGUACUUGGCCUAGUGCCCAUUUUGUAGAUGUGUCAUUGCUGAGAAGGCAGAACAGUAAGGGGAUUUAAAAAAUUUAUACACUGUUAUACAUUGUCACUGAAAUGCCAAAUGAUUUAGCUUUUGUUAUUGUCACUCAGCCUGCUUACUUGAGCAGGGUUUGGCAAGCCAGUAAUUUAGGGGACUUGUGAGUGAAAUACCAUGUGAAUAAAGUCCAUUGUUUCCUUAGUUAGAAAAAGGCUAAUUGACUUACAUGCUGUUUCUGAGGUGAGGAAGUUCCAUUAACAAAACGAAACCAAGCCAAAGAAUCCAGUGUUUCUCAAUUUAACCUAGUCAAAUAUCUGACAUCUCUUUGAGAAAUGGAUACCCAGUGUCAAUAAUCCUAUGAGGUUAAUGGCAGUUAAACAAUGGUUUGCUUAAACAGUAACUGGCAAAUGCUAUAGGGCAAAGCCUAUUUGUGGUGUAGGGGGUGCUUGCAUCAGUUGAUCGGCUAUGCUGUAUUCACUUGCUUUCUGAAAUAUCUGUGGCAGGGACAAAAGUUCCUAUUUGGUGCUCACUUUGGACUUUUAUUUUUGUUUCCUUUGCAGUUGCAAAGAUCUUUUCUGUAGCCUCAGCUGAUCUAAUGCAGUGGUUCUCAGAUUUCAGUGUACAUAAAUCUUUUGGAUGCCUGUUAAGCAUACAGAUUCCUAGGCCCAUACCCAGCUAUUCUAAUUCAGCUGGCCUGGCAACAGGCAUGUUUAAUAAAUUUCUUAGGUGAUUCUAAUGCAUGUGUUCCUUUGAAAAAAAAUUGGAUUGGGUCAGGAUGUAGGAGAAAAGGAAUUGAUACCGUUUUAUGCAUGUGUUAUGUACUAGAUCUGGUUAUGGCAGGAUGCCUCAUUUCAGUGGUUCCCUUCUAAACCCCAAAUACCAUGUCCACCUGUUCGAGACAUAAUAUCCCUAUGUUUGUGAGAACCUGUGCUUAGGGAAUGAUUCCUUCAGUUUGAAGCUUCUUAUUGUCCUUUAAAAUGCAGAUAUGCAGGAGGAGAUAUCUUUUUAUGGCUUAGCAGAAUGCUGCUCAAAGCGCCAGUCUCUGAAGCUCUUUGUUCCUGACUUGCAACCAGGUACUUUAGAUUUUCUACAUCUAAUGGUGGCAAAUAAAUCCACUAGCUGCCAAAUACAUGGGAAAUGAUCUGUGAAAACCACAAGUGGCCCAACAAACUGUACGUCUUCAAUUUGACAGCACAAAGGAAUUAUUGAACAGAAGCUGAAAAAGCAUACUGCUUGCAUUUCAGGUGUUCUGGGACUCAGUGUUAGAAGCUGUCUGUCUGUAAGAAUCUUGCUGUCUCUGCCUCAUGAAAACAAUUGCAGUGAUGAGAACCAGUUACUAAUGGCAUACAUCACACAUUUCAGCCCAUCUUCUGGGUGAGCAGGUGGUUGAGCUGUCCCUCGCCUUUGAAUCAGGAAGUUAGCAUCAAAAAUGGUAUGUUGCUUUUCCUUCCUUUUAUUUUAUUCAGUCUUGGCAUGGUGUGUCACCUAAUUAACAAAACAAAUGUAAUUUUAUGUGACUUUACCUCUUUUCAUGGCUCAUUAUUUUCCUCCAAUGUAAGAAAUUGAUGUUCACAUCAUUUCUUAUCCUCCCUCCAUCUAAAAGGAAAUGUCCAAUUUGGAAGACAUUUUCUUUAGUCUUCUAUGAAAGCCCUCUCAUGACCUUUCUGCUUGCAAACAAAAGAAUCAUUUCCUGAUCAGCACCAGCAGUCAGCUCCUUUACAAUGGAACCCAUUUAAGGUCAGUGCUGGCCUAUAAUAGAACUACUUAAAUAAGUGUAACUUCAAAGAAAAAUGGAAAUAAUGUGUAAUAUUGAGAUGUGAUAACAUCUUAGAGAAAAUAGUUCGUUUUUCUGCUAUUUUUAAAGUAGUAGCCAAUGGUGUGAAGCGGUUUCUAAAGAAAGCUCACACCACAUCCCACCACCAGAAAGCUCCUCCACAACGUGGGCUGGAUCCAAUUCAGUUCCCAAUAUGGCGUUUCAGGAGAGAUUGUCAUGGAUUAGAGGAAGGUAUUCAAGAUGAUAAAGGGCCUAGAAAAAAUAUCUUGUUGGGAGUGUUUAAAAAAAAAAACUUUAGACAAAUUAAAUUGAACAGAUUUUAACUGAGUGAAGAACGAUUUGUAAAUUGAGUAGCUACCCCCCACCUCCCAACCCGAAUAGGUUCGGAGUUACUCAGGCAUUGCCAGGAGUUCAAAAGGAUAUACGCACAGAUAAAGGAAAAUGAUGUACAGAAAAUCGAAGUGAGGUACAGAAAACGGAAGUGAGGUACAGAAGACGGAAGUGAGGUACAGAAAACGGAAGUGAGGUACGGAAACUGCUGGGUUGCUUACAGCUCGCGUUUGCCUUCUUAGCACGGUUUGAGAGGUUGGCUGCCUGUGAGUGGUCAAAGUCUGGCUGCUGGGAUUAGCUGAGACUUAGCUACUUGUUCCAAGAGCAGGUUCCGGUCUGUUUCCACAUCCAGUCAGGUUUCAGUUCACUAUGUACCCAGAAACCUUGAGGCUGAACUUAAAAUAUGCGAGGAAGCAGCUUUAGGUGAAACAACGUAGCAGGAGUAUAGCAAAAGUUCAGUCUGAUAUAAAGGAGAUAGGACAGACGGAUGCCUGUGGCCAUUGUCCAUCUUUGAGAGGGUAUUUAAAGGCUGGCUUGUUCUGUUUUGCUUCUGAGACAUACUAAGUACCGAUCGGUAGAAAGUGAAAGCAAAUGAUGGCAAGGACACCUCAUAAAUUAGUGAGUCACUCCCCAUCAUUUGAGAGUAUUAAGCAAGAGGGUCAACGAUUAUUUGUAGGACUAUUUUAGUCCUACAAAUUUUAAAGGCAUUUCCUGUGCUGGGUGGAUUUUUAUGAUUCUUAUAUGAGCAUGCUCCGUUUUUCAUGAUGCUAAAGAGGAAAUACUUGCUUUGUUAAUUUAAAAUGGAUUAAUUUAAACAAUUCUUGGCUGGGCGCAGUGGCUUACGCCUGUAA